CGCUGACAUCCUCACGGGGACACCCAGGACCUCGGCGUGACCGGGUCCCUCAUCACCCUGCAAGCACAAAGGGACAGGAGGGAUGGCUGCUGACCAGAGGCCAACGUCGGGUGGUUUGGGAUCCGUAGGGUGAGCAGGGACCGUGUCCCCGUGGCUGUCGCAGCGUCUUCAGCUCCUCAGCUCUGCGCCCCCCUGUCCUGCACACUGCUGCUCCCCACUGUGCUGAUGUCCCCAGCCUGAACCGUGCCCACUGGGACACCUGGAUGGGCUGUGACAGCCGAGGGACCUGUCUGAGCAUGAAGGGUUCCAGGAGCAGAACUGCACGGGCAACGCUCUGCUUCCCGUGGCCACACAAAUCCCAACUGGGUGAUAACACACCAAAAUCCUGCAGCUCUGCCUGGGAGCUCCAGCAUCUCUGCCCUCCCACCCGCACCAGGAACUGGGGCAGGAACUGGGGGAUAAUCCCCUUCGCAAGUGAACCCCUCUGUUUGCGACCGCUAGAUCCCAAGCGGUGGCAGCUUUACAGGUCCCAUGGCAUUUUUCUGGCAGGUUGUGUUACCUGGCAACCUGCGGUGGGGAGAGGAGGGAAAUGCUCAGCCAGCGGCACCAGCAAUGCUCCAAAUUGGGGUGUGGGUCCCCCCAAAGCCCCCCAGCACAGCAGCUGCAUGCCCAGCUCCCUGCGUGGGGCCCUGCAGACGCUUCUGCUGCAAGCUCCUGCCCCCACCAUGCCCACAGCCCUCAUCACUCCAGGGGUUGCUGCUGUCCUUACGUGGGCCUUGGGCUCCUGGAUCUUCUCGCCAAGGCUCUCAGGAAGCUGCAGGACAUCCCCCUGCCCCAGUUAUUGGUGUCCCCCUGGGGACAUCCAUCAGGCUGGAGAUCCUGAUGUCUCCAAAUCGCUCCUUCCUAAGGAGAGCAGAAGCUGCGAGGCUGGGAGGUGCUCGGGCCAAGCAGAGCUUCCCUUGCAAACCUGUUCUGGAGCUGGGGCUGGAGCUCGGGAAGGAGCCCCAGGCAGGAACUGAGGCACUGUUGCCUUCCCGGUGCAAAGCUGAGCCGGGCUCUCUGU
RNAcentral lists this long non-coding RNA (1063 nucleotides) under Athene cunicularia (burrowing owl). Its description in RNAcentral is "lncRNA (ENSACUG00000012374.1)". Lineage: Eukaryota; Metazoa; Chordata; Aves; Strigiformes; Strigidae. The record is from RNAcentral.